Molecule: long non-coding RNA, 813 nt
Filed under: Elaeis guineensis (African oil palm)
Lineage: Eukaryota; Viridiplantae; Streptophyta; Magnoliopsida; Arecales; Arecaceae
Description: long non-coding RNA (EGUI_LNC034103)
Source: RNAcentral
UGUAUACAUGGACAUUGGGCUAUGCUUGGCAUGGCCUGGUCCAGACCCAUCGGGCCAUAGUCCAAAUAGAUCGUACCAAGCAUGGCCCAUUUACCCUAAAUCCUGGCUUGGCAUAGCCCUAGGCUCGAGGUUUGGCAGGCUGUACUAGGCAUGGCCUAUGGCAUGUCUGGCCCGUGGGCCUGAUGGGCGGCAUUUUUUUUUUAAAUCAGUCCAAAUGGAUCAUACUAGAAUAGUCUGUUUAAUAUCAUUACAGGCCAGGCUCGACCUGUAACAGCUAAAUCUUUUUUUUUAAUUUUUUGGAUUGAUAACAGUAAUUUUUAGGCUUUUUACCAUUUUAACCCCCUCAACAGUCAUAAAACAGCUAAUUUGAGGGGUAUUUUGAUAUUUUAGAUUCCUAUAAAUACCUCCUCCUCUUUUAUAAUUUAUAAAAAAAUUAUAUUUUUUAAAUUUAGAAAAAGGGUCGGGCUUGGAUCGGGUCGGGAUCAUGUCAGGCCAUGCUUGGCCCAUGGCCCGUGCUUGACCCAGGCCUUUAUAGGCCGUGUCGGGCCUGGGCCGCAGACCGCAAACCCUUAGCCCGGCCUGGCCCCUUCUAAUGGGCUGUGCCUGAUACGACCCAUUUUGUGCUAGGUCGGGCUGUGUAAUGGGCGGCCCGGCCUAUUAUCCAUGUCUAGGCUUGUAUUUCCACCGAUCAAAAAUUAUGGGGAAAGUAAAAGAUGAAGUGGAGGACUAAAACUUUUCUAGAUGAGUUCAAAUGAAAGUGAGGGUGAGACUAAACAUAAGCCAGUGAUACCUAAUAAUUAAUUACUUCACCAC